GACGAACGCUGGCGGCGUGCCUAAUACAUGCAAGUCGAACGCUUCUUUCCUCCCGAGUGCUUGCACUCAAUUGGAAAGAGGAGUGGCGGACGGGUGAGUAACACGUGGGUAACCUACCCAUCAGAGGGGGAGAACACUUGGAAACAGGUGCUAAUACCGCAUAACAGUUUAUGCCGCAUGGCAUAAGAGUGAAAGGCGCUUUCGGGUGUCGCGGAUGGAUGGGCCCGCGGUGCAUUAGCUAGUUGGUGAGGUAACGGCUCACCAAGGCCACGAUGCAUAGCCGACCUGAGAGGGUGAUCGGCCACACUGGGACUGAGACACGGCCCAGACUCCUACGGGAGGCAGCAGUAGGGAAUCUUCGGCAAUGGACGAAAGUCUGACCGAGCAACGCCGCGUGAGUGAAGAAGGUUUUCGGAUCGUAAAACUCUGUUGUUAGAGAAGAACAAGGACGUUAGUAACUGAACGUCCCCUGACGGUAUCUAACCAGAAAGCCACGGCUAACUACGUG
This 508-nucleotide ribosomal RNA is filed under the name uncultured bacterium. Its description in RNAcentral is "partial 16S ribosomal RNA". It matches the Rfam family "Bacterial small subunit ribosomal RNA", at positions 28 to 507 of the family's 1533-position model. The record is from RNAcentral.